UGCUGAGGAGGCGCUUCCUCUUCCCGCUUCUCUCCUUUUUCUCUCCUUUUUCUUUCCUUUUUCUCUCCUUUUUCUUUCUUUUUUCAUCCUUUCCCCCCGUCCUUUCCUUCCCUUUCCGCAUUAUUUCGGCUCCUCCGGCGCUUUACCUUCGCUGAGGUGGCGCCAGCCGCAGACGCGUCCCUUCCGCCUCACCAGAUUUGCUAAUGGAGGCGAGUUCAAAACACAGGUCGCGGUCACAAAAGGCCUGAAGGGCGCGGGAGGCGGCUCCCUCUAAAGCUACUUAGUUUUGUUUGUGAAAUAUCCACCAGCCUGUUCGUGAGAAAAGCGCCUUGAGUCAGCCACCGCAGGGAAACUGUGCUGUAUGAAAAAAAAAAACAAAUCCGUAGAAAGCUUGGCAGAUACCGAGGUGAUUUAGCUGCCUUCACAACAGCAGUAAGUCACUCUCCUAAACCACAGAAAUGUGUGGAAAGAGGACAUGAGGAAAUCGUAAUAUAUGACCUUCUGAAACUUCACCUGGGAAAAGUAAAGGGAGCAGAGAGUGCAGUAACAUUACUCAGACUUUUGAAAAGUGAAAUACAAACAUGUCUUGGCAGUGCUGAAUCUCAAGCUACCAGAGUGCAGAGGAUGCUGAAGAUUGUCCUCCCCACUGUGCCACUGGUGUCACCACACUGCUGGGGGCUGUGGGCUGUCACCCCUCCUCUGGGAUGGAUUUCAAACACAGGGUAAAGGCUUUCUGUUGUCACUCUCAUGGCAGUCAUUUGUCUUGGUUUUGUUCCUUGGAGCAAAGAACUGGAGCUGCUGUGUAUCAGAAGUAUGCAUCCAUUAUCUGAAAAACAGAUUUUCAAUGCAAAUUUCGUCGAAAAUGAAUGAAUCUCACAGUUUUCCCCUCUUUUUUUCCCCCGUAAUUCGUUAGAAAUCAUGAGCACAGAAGGAUGUGUAUAUCCCAGCUCAGUUUGGAAGUGCCAUCCGCUCAGACACGACAGUAGGUUUGGGAACAUUGUCAGCACUAAUUGCCUUGUAAAUCCAGGCGCUCAUUGCAAGAACUGCAGCUUUCCCAGUGACAAACAUACUGCCAGGAGAUUUGGAACAAUUAAGCAGUGAUUGUUCUCACAGAAUGGGAGAAACAAGCCUCUGGGUUGUAGUUUGGAUGCUGAAAGGACCAGGGCACUUUCCCACAAAGCAGUAUGGAAAGCUCUGGACCCGCCGUGGCUCCAGCUCCCAAAUGUGCUUUCUGCAGAGUGCGCUCCCAUUCCUGGGCGAGAGCGAGCCCGGGGGAAAAUCGCUGCUCUGACAGGACAGAACCAGCGCGGUCCAUGGGCUGUGUCAGGCCAGUCUGACAAAGUUGCUGCCGAUGCUUUUGUGCAGCUUCUGAACCUCCCGUUGCUGUCUCCCCGCAGAAAUGCUGCGUGUCUAAAGCGCAACAGGUCCCCAAUCAGGGAGAGCAGUAUCAGUUUCCAUGUGAUAACUUUGCUACUAUUAAGAAAUUCUUUUCAGGAGCCUCCUUUAUUUCGCGAUCCCCGAGAUGAAUAAAGAAGUUAUUCCCUAAUUUCUUGAGUGUGCAGUCAAGAAAUAGCCGUAUGCUGCGGUCCUGUGUGAGCGGGAAUUUUUGGAAUGCAGAGCCGGGCUGCUGUUCCUGGGUGUGCUGGUGAGAUCGGGGUCUUGGCAGCAGCGUGGAAACCAGCACCAGUGGUGAGGUAUUACCGAGGGAUGUCCGAGUGCUGGGGAAAAGCAAGUGGCAAUUUGCUCCUUGGUUCAGCUAAUGCAGACAAUGUUAAGGCGGUAUGAUGAGCGAACUGAUGGCUGUGUGUGUGUAAGACUGAAGGGUGGCACUGCGAUAGCGUCUUGUGAGAUGUUUGCUCAUCAAAGGAUGUAAUUGUGCUCAGAGACUGAAAGACAGCAGGUUUGGCUGGUUGUGUGCAGUACUUGAAGGACUGAGUGCAUUGUGUGUGUUAUCUACUCGAUGUGCUUUUCUCCAGCUCUGUCUCUGUCCUCACACUGCCUUUUGUUUCAGCCUUUGCUGUGUGACUCAUCUUUAGAAUACGCGUUUGCUACAAUUAUCUGCUGGGUUUCGCAAUGAAUCCCACUCCUUCCUUUUGCCGCUCUUUUCAGGCUUGCUAUAAAUUCACGAGGAUUUUUUUUUUUUCAUUUUUCUAACAGAAGGUACUGGUUACCAGCGUUAAAGAACCACGCCUAAACUAUGUGCUAAAUCAUUUAUUUUCUGAACAAAUUAAAGUCUGUAGGGAAAAGCACUGCUGUAAGCACCAGAAAAGGGAGAACACUGUGAGAGAUGUUAAUACCAAGCAAUAAUGAAGAAAAAUGCCACUGUUUUAAAUGCAGUGGUAAGUGACCCUUACAACUAUGAUAAAUUCCAAACCCAAAUCUGCUCACAUUUUCAAAGGUUUCAGAAGAAUACUGUGGAUUAAAAACUGUUAUUGAUUGCUUUACAUUUCUCUUUUGUACUUAAAAGCAGGAGUAGCUGUCACUCACACAGAACCACUGCUAUCUGAAAGAAUUAACUGCUUAGAUUAAAUUUAUUUAAAGUAUCUCUACAGCUUUUUAAAAUGCCUGUGUCUACGUGCAUAUGUUAAAUUGAGUAAACAGUUUCUCUUUCCCAGCUGAAUUUCAUUUGUUCUCAGUUUUGCCUUUAUCUCCUCUUAAAAACGAGGACACCCAGCACAGGAUGGUCACAACAUAGACAAAGGCGUUUAUAAACCCCAGACAUAAGGUGUCUGGGUGAAAAGGCAAUUUCAGUCCUGCAUUUGGAAGUUCUGG
Long non-coding RNA from Ficedula albicollis (Collared flycatcher), 2772 nucleotides. RefSeq lists it as uncharacterized. Lineage: Eukaryota; Metazoa; Chordata; Aves; Passeriformes; Muscicapidae. The record is from RefSeq and is a predicted model, not a curated record. The transcript has 4 exons.